RNAcentral lists this ribosomal RNA (498 nucleotides) under uncultured Actinomycetes bacterium. Its description in RNAcentral is "bacterial SSU rRNA". It matches the Rfam family "Bacterial small subunit ribosomal RNA", at positions 388 to 896 of the family's 1533-position model. The record is from RNAcentral. Lineage: Bacteria; Bacillati; Actinomycetota; Actinomycetes.
GCAGCGACGCCGCGUGAGGGAUGAAGGCCUUCGGGUUGUAAACCUCUUUCGGCAGGGAAGAAGCGCAAGUGACGGUACCUGCAGAAGAAGCACCGGCUAACUACGUGCCAGCAGCCGCGGUAAUACGUAGGGUGCGAGCGUUGUCCGGAAUUAUUGGGCGUAAAGAGCUCGUAGGCGGUUUGUUGCGUCGGCUGUGAAAUCCCGAGGCUCAACCUCGGGUCUGCAGUCGAUACGAGCAAACUAGAGUGUUGCAGGGGAGACUGGAAUUCCUGGUGUAGCGGUGAAAUGCGCAGAUAUCAGGAGGAACACCGGUGGCGAAGGCGGGUCUCUGGGCAACAACUGACGCUGAGGAGCGAAAGCGUGGGGAGCGAACAGGAUUAGAUACCCUGGUAGUCCACGCCGUAAACGUUGGGCGCUAGGUGUGGGGCUCAUUCCACGAGUUCCGUGCCGCAGCUAACGCAUUAAGCGCCCCGCCUGGGGAGUACGGCCGCAAGGCUA